UACGAAGGGUGCUAGCGUUGCUCGGAAUCACUGGGCGUAAAGGGCGCGUAGGCGGCGUUUUAAGUUGGGGGUGAAAGCCUGUGGCUCAACCACAGAAUUGCCUUCGAUACUGGGUCGCUUGAGUGUUGUAGAGGUUGGUGGAAUUUGGAGUGUAGAGGUGAAAUUCGUAGAUAUUCGCAAGAACACCGGUGGCGAAGGCGGCCAACUGGACCAUCACUGACGCUGAGGCGCGAAAGCGUGGGGAGCAAACAGG
Molecule: ribosomal RNA, 253 nt
Filed under: uncultured bacterium
Lineage: Bacteria
Description: partial 16S ribosomal RNA
Rfam family: Bacterial small subunit ribosomal RNA
Source: RNAcentral